ACCAUCAUCUUCUUCAUCCUUCAUCUUCUUCCUUCAUUCCUUCAUGUUCUUCACCACUUCAUCAUUCAAGCCCAAAAUUUCAAAACAAAUCCAAAAAAAAUAAAUCUCAAAAUUGCAAAAAAUCUUAACUUUUAUCAAAAUCUCAAAUCAAUAUUCAGAAAAUCAAAACCCAUAAAAUCUAAAACUGAAAAGAAAAUAAAUUGGGAGUUUUAUGUAGAAAAUUUCUGGAAAUUAAACCCAAAAAUUUUCAACACAACAAGAACGAACAACAAGAACAACAACAACAAGAUGAACAACAACAACAACUUACUCUGAUUUAAGAACACGAUAGCAAGAUGAACAACAACAAGAACGAGAACAACAGAAAAUUGGGAGUAUUAACACAACAAUAACAACAUGAUUUGAUGAGUGACAAUGGUGAAUGAAACCCAACAAAUCUCAGAAAAUCAAAAACUCAAACCCAUUUGUUUACAAAACUCAAGAUGCAAGAUCUGAGUUGCUGAAAGAUGCAAAUUCAAUUGGAGAUCUAACCCCUUUUGUGACCAGUUUGUUUACUUUGUCCCCUUGAUUUAACAUCAAGGUACUUCACCAAAUUGUUUUCAUUCUGGUAGCAACAGAACAAAGACUUGCGUACUAUGGCUGCAAGUCUUUAGAUGAUUGAGUGGUUCACUAUCAUAUGUUAGUGGUUCACUAUUAGAUAUAAUAGACCAACAAGAUCUAAUGGUUUUAUUUUUGUC
This 737-nucleotide long non-coding RNA is filed under the name Trifolium pratense (red clover). RNAcentral describes it as "long non-coding RNA (TPRA_LNC005027)". The record is from RNAcentral. Lineage: Eukaryota; Viridiplantae; Streptophyta; Magnoliopsida; Fabales; Fabaceae.